This 497-nucleotide ribosomal RNA is filed under the name uncultured bacterium. RNAcentral's name for it is "partial 16S ribosomal RNA". It matches the Rfam family "Bacterial small subunit ribosomal RNA", at positions 28 to 507 of the family's 1533-position model. The record is from RNAcentral.
GAUGAACGCUGGCGGCGUGCCUAAUACAUGCAAGUCGAGCGAACAGACGAGGAGCUUGCUCCUCUGACGUUAGCGGCGGACGGGUGAGUAACACGUGGAUAACCUACCUAUAAGACUGGGAUAACUUCGGGAAACCGGAGCUAAUACCGGAUAAUAUAUUGAACCGCAUGGUUCAAUAGUGAAAGACGGUUUUGCUGUCACUUAUAGGUGGAUCCGCGCCGCAUUAGCUAGUUGGUAAGGUAACGGCUUACCAAGGCGACGAUGCGUAGCCGACCUGAGAGGGUGAUCGGCCACACUGGAACUGAGACACGGUCCAGACUCCUACGGGAGGCAGCAGUAGGGAAUCUUCCGCAAAGGGCGAAAGCCUGACGGAGCAACGCCGCGUGAGUGAUGAAGGUCUUCGGAUCGUAAAACUCUGUUAUUAGGGAAGAACAAAUGUGUAAGUAACUAUGCACGUCUUGACGGUACCUAAUCAGAAAGCCACGGCUAACUACGUG